RNAcentral lists this long non-coding RNA (1325 nucleotides) under Pan troglodytes (chimpanzee). RNAcentral's name for it is "lncRNA (ENSPTRG00000053017.1)". Lineage: Eukaryota; Metazoa; Chordata; Mammalia; Primates; Hominidae. The record is from RNAcentral.
UGGGGGAAGAAAGGUAUUCCAGGUAGUAGAAGGGCAUAAGCUGAGGCAUGCUGCCGGGAAACAAGAGACCUGCAUCUCUAUACAGCGAGUACUGGCACUUAAUGGGAUGCAGUCCCUGUCCCAGUAAGGACGACAGGAGGAGUGGGAAAUGAAGUUGGGGGGGGUCAGCCAGUACCAGGUUAUGGAUAGUUUAGAAUCUCUGGCUCUGCAGUGUGGACUACAUUUCCUGAGCAGUGGGUGCUUUUUAGGCGUUGCCACAUUUUGUUUUAGCUGGAAUAAUGAUGGCAUUGGAGCUGGCUGGGAGUAAUGCUCUGAAGCAUUGUGCCAGAGUGGAAACAGUAAUGGAAGAGGGGCAGUAAGAAUGCUACUUCCGUGACUAGAAACCAAGGCUACGAUGGUAGCAGCCGAAACAGAGAAAAGAAGAGGUGCUGUGGAGUUAGAAUGGCGAGGCUCGGCAGUCUGCCUAUGCUCAUGAAAUCAGGAAGGCUGGAGAGUCAAAGGGGCUUCUGAGUUUUGGUGGCUGGGAUGAUAGUCCCAUUUUAAAUUAUGAAUGGCAAGAACUGUUUUUUUUUAAGCCUGCGUUUUCAGUCCUAGCAUCACACACUCUGUACCUUUCUUUUUCCUGAUAGGCAGUUAUUUGGGAUAUACCUGUAAGUGUGGAGGCCUUCAGUCAGGAAGUCCCUUAAGUUCCCAGACAUCCCAGCCUGAGCAAGAAGUGGGGACCUCAGAAGGAAAGCCAAUCAGCAGCCUGGAUGCCUUCCCCACUCAGGAAGGUACGCUGUCUCCAGUGAACUUGACAGACGACCAGAUCGCCGCUGGCCUCUAUGCAUGUACAAACAAUGAAAGUACACUGAAGUCCAUCAUGAAGAAGAAAGAUGGUAACAAAGAUUCAAAUGGCGCAAAAAAGAAUCUUCAGUUUGUUGGCAUUAAUGGAGGGUAUGAAACAACUUCAAGUGAUGAUUCCAGCUCAGAUGAAAGCUCUUCUUCCGAGUCAGAUGACGAGUGUGAUGUCAUUGAGUAUCUCUUGAAGAGGAGGAAGGAGGAGGAGGAUGAAGACACUCGGGAAUGGCAGAAGGAGCCAUGCAGUUAAUAUUGAAGGUUUUGAAGUCUGCCAGGGUGGAGAGUGAAAUGCAGGUUCAAAGAAUGUGAACUGAGAAGGUGGAAAUCAGAGAGAGGUGUGUACAUCCCCUUCCUCCCUUGCCCUCCCACAUUUUAAUGUACUUUGGCAAUAGAGUUGGCCAGUUCAGAGCUUUUUAAUUAAAGUUUUCUUUUAUCUGUUCCUCAGAGGUAUACACAUCUUGAGAUACUAAUAUAUACAAGUGCAG